Molecule: ribosomal RNA, 371 nt
Filed under: uncultured bacterium
Lineage: Bacteria
Description: bacterial SSU rRNA
Rfam family: Bacterial small subunit ribosomal RNA
Source: RNAcentral
GAACCGUGCGAACGUUGUUCGGAUUCACUGGGCUUAAAGGGCGCGUAGGCGGGUCCCCAAGUCCAGGGUGAAAGCCCCCGGCCCAACCGGGGAACUGCCCUGGAUACUGGGGACCUCGAGCGGGGUAGGGGCCCGCGGAACUUCCGGUGGAGCGGUGAAAUGCGUAGAGAUCGGAAGGAACGCCGGUGGCGAAAGCGGCGGGCUGGACCCCUCCUGACGCUGAGGCGCGAAAGCCAGGGGAGCGAACGGGAUUAGAUACCCCGGUAGUCCUGGCCCUAAACGAUGGGCACUGGGCCGUGGGCUUGCAUGGGCUCACAGCCGGAGCAAAAGUGUUAAGUGCCCCGCCUGGGGAGUAUGGUCGCAAGGCUGAA